GAUGAAGAACGUAGCGAAAUGCGAUAAGUAAUGUGAAUUGCAGAAUUCAGUGAAUCAUCGAAUCUUUGAACGCAUCUUGCGCUCCUUGGUAUUCUGAGGAGCAUGCCUGUUUGAGUGUCAUUAAAUUCUCGACUACACUGACUUUGAAUUGGUGUGGCUUGGAUUUGGGGGGAAAAUUGUUGUGGGCUUUUUGUAUAGUCUGCUCCCCUGAAAUUGAUUAGCGGUACCUUUGUGGAACUGUCUACAGGUGUGAUAAUUAUCUACAUCUUAGACAUCUGCUGGAAUGCUGCUCUCUAAACCUUACUUGUAUUGACAAUCUUGACCUCAAAUCAGGUAGGACUACCCGCUGAACUUAAGCAUAUCAAUAAGCGGAGGA
Molecule: unclassified non-coding RNA, 376 nt
Filed under: soil metagenome
Description: partial contains 5.8S ribosomal RNA, internal transcribed spacer 2, and large subunit ribosomal RNA
Rfam family: 5.8S ribosomal RNA (bases 1-120)
Source: RNAcentral